GGAAAAGAAACUAAGUGCAGAGCACUGAUUUUGACAUAAUGUAUUAUCUAACAAUUGUGCUUCAUUUUCACCAGUUUUACCUUUGAUUCAUACAAGUUGAGAUAAUACAGUCACAUCACAUACAUAAUAAACACAAACAUUUCAUUAAUUCUACUUUAUAUAACCAAAAUAAUAUAAAAUAUUAAUUAUACAUCAACCCUUAAUUCUAGAUACUAAAACUUAUCUCAAUCUGAAACUAAUCUCUAAAUAAUAAACCUUAAACCCUAAUCACUAAACCCUAAAUCCAAAUAUAAACCAUAAACUCAAAUAUAAAUCUAAAUCUAACUCCAAAUUUUAAAUACUAAACCCUAAAUGGAUC
Molecule: long non-coding RNA, 358 nt
Filed under: Brassica napus (rape)
Lineage: Eukaryota; Viridiplantae; Streptophyta; Magnoliopsida; Brassicales; Brassicaceae
Description: long non-coding RNA (BNAP_LNC018595)
Source: RNAcentral